GAUGAACGCUGGCGGCGUGCCUAAUACAUGCAAGUCGAGCGAACAGACGAGGAGCUUGCUCCUUCGACGUUAGCGGCGGACGGGUGAGUAACACGUAGGUAACCUACCUAUAAGACUGGGAUAACUUCGGGAAACCGGAGCUAAUACCGGAUAAUAUUUCGAACCGCAUGGUUCGAUAGUGAAAGAUGGCUUUGCUAUCACUUAUAGAUGGACCUGCGCCGUAUUAGCUAGUUGGUAAGGUAACGGCUUACCAAGGCAACGAUACGUAGCCGACCUGAGAGGGUGAUCGGCCACACUGGAACUGAGACACGGUCCAGACUCCUACGGGAGGCAGCAGUAGGGAAUCUUCCGCAAUGGGCGAAAGCCUGACGGAGCAACGCCGCGUGAGUGAUGAAGGUCUUCGGAUCGUAAAACUCUGUUAUUAGGGAAGAACAAACGUGUAAGUAACUGUGCACGUCUUGACGGGACCUAAUCAGAAAACCACGGCUAACUACGU
This 496-nucleotide ribosomal RNA is filed under the name uncultured bacterium. RNAcentral's name for it is "partial 16S ribosomal RNA". It matches the Rfam family "Bacterial small subunit ribosomal RNA", at positions 28 to 506 of the family's 1533-position model. The record is from RNAcentral.